This 545-nucleotide ribosomal RNA is filed under the name uncultured archaeon. Its description in RNAcentral is "bacterial SSU rRNA". It matches the Rfam family "Archaeal small subunit ribosomal RNA", at positions 58 to 609 of the family's 1478-position model. The record is from RNAcentral.
UCUUUGUAGUAAUACAAGGCAUACGGCUCAGUAACGCGUAGUCAACCUACCCUAUGGACGAGAAUAAUCUCGGGAAACUGAGCAUAAUUCUUGAUAGAUCAUAAUGCCUGGAAUGGUUUAUGGUUAAAAUGAUUCGUCGCCAUAGGAUGGGACUGCGGCCUAUCAGCUUGUUGGUGAGGUAAUGGCCCACCAAGGCGAUUACAGGUACGGGCUCUGAGAGGAGAAGCCCGGAGAUGGGUACUGAGACACGGACCCAGGCCCUAUGGGGCGCAGCAGGCGAGAAAACUUUGCAAUGUGCGAAAGCACGACAAGGUUAGUCCGAGUGAUUUCUGCUAAAGAGAUCUUUUGCUAGUUAUAAAACCACUAGUGAAUAAGGGGUGGGCAAGUUCUGGUGUCAGCCGCCGCGGUAAAACCAGCACCUCAAGUGGUCAGGAUGAUUAUUGGGCCUAAAGCAUCCGUAGCCGGCUCUGUAAGUUUUCGGUUAAAUCUAUACGCUUAACGUAUGGGCCGCCGAAAAUACUGUAGAGAUAGGGAGUGGGAGAGGU